CCUACGGGGGGCAGCAGUGGGGGAUAUUGCACAAUGGGGGAAACCCUGAUGCAGCGACGCCGCGUGUGGGAAGACGGUCUUCUGGAUUGUAAACCACUGUCCCCGGGGACGAAAAUGCCGGUACCUCGGGAUGACGCUCCGGCUAACUACGUGCCAGCAGCCGCGGUAAUAAGUAGGGAGCAAGCGGUGUCCGGAAUUCCUGGGUGUAAAGGGAGCGUAGGCGGGGAUGCAAGUUGGAGGUCAACACUACCGGCUCAACCGAUAGUCGCACUCAAAACUGCAGCUCUUGAGUGAAGUAGAGGCAGGCGGAAUUCCUAGUGUAGCGGUGAAAUGCGUAGAUAUUAGGAGGAACACCAGUGGCGAAGGCGGCCUGCUGGGCUUUGACUGACGCUGAGGCUCGAAAGUGUGGGGAGCAAACAGGAUUAGAUACCCGGGUAGUC
This 440-nucleotide ribosomal RNA is filed under the name uncultured bacterium. Its description in RNAcentral is "partial 16S ribosomal RNA". It matches the Rfam family "Bacterial small subunit ribosomal RNA", at positions 338 to 795 of the family's 1533-position model. The record is from RNAcentral.